GCUUGCACUUUCAAAAGUUAGCGGCGGACGGGGUGGAGGUAAACAACGUAAAGGGAAACCUACCGAUAAAGCGGGGGACAACAUCCGAAACGGGUGCUAAUACCGCAUAGGAAGUUUGUUCGCAUGACAAACUUAGAAAGAUGGCUCUGCUAUCACUUAUCGAUGGCCUUGCGGUGCAUUAACUAGUUGGCGAGGUAACGGCUCACCAAGGUGAUGAUGCAUAGCCCGACCCCUGAGAGGGUAAUCGGCCACAUUGGGACUGAGACACGGCCCAAACUCCUACGGGAGGCAGCAGUAGGGAAUCUUCCGCAAUGGACGCAAGUCUGACGGAGCAACGCCGCGUGAGUGAAGAAGGUUUUCGGAUCGUAAAACUCUGUUGUAAGAGAAGAACAAAUUGUAGAGUAACUGCUACAGUCUUGACGGUAUCUUACCAGAAAGCCACGGCUAACUACGUGCCAGCAGCCGCGGUAAU
Molecule: ribosomal RNA, 472 nt
Filed under: uncultured Aerococcus sp.
Lineage: Bacteria; Bacillati; Bacillota; Bacilli; Lactobacillales; Aerococcaceae
Description: bacterial SSU rRNA
Rfam family: Bacterial small subunit ribosomal RNA
Source: RNAcentral